RNAcentral lists this ribosomal RNA (429 nucleotides) under Bacteroidota bacterium. Its description in RNAcentral is "Bacteroidetes bacterium partial 16S ribosomal RNA". It matches the Rfam family "Bacterial small subunit ribosomal RNA", at positions 355 to 776 of the family's 1533-position model. The record is from RNAcentral. Lineage: Bacteria; Pseudomonadati; Bacteroidota.
UAGGGAAUCUUCGGCAAUGGGGGGAACCCUGACCGAGCAACGCCGCGUGAGUGAAGAAGGUUUUCGGAUCGUAAAGCUCUGUUGUUAAGGAAGAACGAGUGUGAGAAUGGAAAGUUCAUGCUGUGACGGUACUUAACCAGAAAGGGACGGCUAACUACGUGCCAGCAGCCGCGGUAAUACGUAGGUCCCGAGCGUUGUCCGGAUUUAUUGGGCGUAAAGCGAGCGCAGGCGGUUAGAAAAGUCUGAAGUGAAAGGCAGUGGCUCAACCAUUGUGAGAUUUGGUAAAUGAUUCACUUGAGUGCAGAAGGGGAGGGUGGAAUUCCAUGUGUAGAGGGGAAAUGCAUAGAUAUAUGGAGGAACACCAGUGGCGAAGGCGACUCUCUGGUCUGUAACUGACGCUGAGGCGCGAAAGCGUGGGUAGCAAAGAGG